AACGAGAAAGCUCCCUUCGGGGAGUGAGUAGAGUGGCGAACGGGUGAGUAACGGGUGGGAAACCUACCUCUGUGUGGGGGAUAACAUCCCUAACGGGGUGCUAAUACCGCAUGAAUCGGCGAGUCGCAUGGCUCGUUGGGAAAGGUGGCCUCUACAUGUAAGCUGCCGCACGGAGAUGGUCCCGCCUCCCAUUAGCUUGUUGGUGGGGUAACGGCCUACCAAGGCGAUGAUGGGUAGCCGGCCUGAGAGGGUGUCCGGCCACACUGGGACUGAGAUACGGCCCAGACUCCUACGGGAGGCAGCAGUCGAGAAGCUUCGGCAAUGGGCGAAAGCCUGACCGAGCGACGCCGCGUGAGGGAUGAAGGCCCUAGUGGUUGUAAACCUCUGUCAGGAGGGAAUAAAGCGUCACGGUGAAUACCCGUGACGUCUGAAGGUACCUCCAAAGGAAGCUCCGGCUAACUCCGUGCCAGCAGCCGCGGUAAUACGGAGGGAGCGAACGUUGUUCGGAUUUACUGGGUGUAAAGGGUGCGUAGGCGGCCGCGUGUGUCAGAGGUGAAAUCCCACGGCUCAACCGUGGAAUUGCCUUUGAAACUGCGUGGCUUGAGUCCGG
RNAcentral lists this ribosomal RNA (610 nucleotides) under uncultured organism. RNAcentral describes it as "bacterial SSU rRNA". It matches the Rfam family "Bacterial small subunit ribosomal RNA", at positions 65 to 651 of the family's 1533-position model. The record is from RNAcentral.